Molecule: ribosomal RNA, 252 nt
Filed under: uncultured bacterium
Lineage: Bacteria
Description: partial 16S ribosomal RNA
Rfam family: Bacterial small subunit ribosomal RNA
Source: RNAcentral
UACGUAGGGGCGAGCGUUGUCCGGAAUCAUUGGGCGUAAAGAGCGUGUAGGCGGACUGGAAGGUCUGGUGUGAAAGCCCGGGGCUCAACCCCGGAGGGUCACUGGAAACCGACAGUCUUGAAUCUGGAAGAGGAGAGUGGAAUUCCUGGUGUAGCGGUGGAAUGCGCAGAUAUCAGGAGGAACACCAAUGGCGAAGGCAGCUCUCUGGUACAUGAUUGACGCUGAGACGCGAAAGCGUGGGGAGCGAACAGG